RNAcentral lists this ribosomal RNA (1372 nucleotides) under uncultured bacterium. RNAcentral describes it as "bacterial SSU rRNA". It matches the Rfam family "Bacterial small subunit ribosomal RNA", at positions 28 to 1381 of the family's 1533-position model. The record is from RNAcentral.
GAUGAACGCUGGCGGCGUGCCUAAUACAUGCAAGUCGAGCGAACGGACGAGAAGCUUGCUUCUCUGAUGUUAGCGGCGGACGGGUGAGUAACACGUGGAUAACCUACCUAUAAGACUGGGAUAACUUCGGGAAACCGGAGCUAAUACCGGAUAAUAUUUUGAACCGCAUGGUUCAAAAGUGAAAGACGGUCUUGCUGUCACUUAUAGAUGAAUCUGCGCUGCAUUAGCUAGUUGGUAAGGUAACGGCUUACCAAGGCAACGAUGCAUAGCCGACCUGAGAGGGUGAUCGGCCGCACUGGAACUGAGACACGGUCCAGACUCCUACGGGAGGCAGCAGUAGGGAAUCUUCCGCAAUGGGCGAAAGCCUGACGGAGCAACGCCGCGUGAGUGAUGAAGGUCUUCGGAUCGUAAAACUCUGUUAUUAGGGAAGAACAUAUGUGUAAGUAACUGUGCACAUCUUGACGGUACCUAAUCAGAAAGCCACGGCUAACUACGUGCCAGCAGCCGCGGUAAUACGUAGGUGGCAAGCGUUAUCCGGAAUUAUUGGGCGUAAAGCGCGCGUAGGCGGUUUUUUAAGUCUGAUGUGAAAGCCCACGGCUCAACCGUGGAGGGUCAUUGGAAACUGGAAAACUUGAGUGCAGAAGAGGAAAGUGGAAUUCCAUGUGUAGCGGUGAAAUGCGCAGAGAUAUGGAGGAACACCAGUGGCGAAGGCGACUUUCUGGUCUGUAACUGACGCUGAUGUGCGAAAGCGUGGGGAUCAAACAGGAUUAGAUACCCUGGUAGUCCACGCCGUAAACGAUGAGUGCUAAGUGUUAGGGGGUUUCCGCCCCUUAGUGCUGCAGCUAACGCAUUAAGCACUCCGCCUGGGGAGUACGACCGCAAGGUUGAAACUCAAAGGAAUUGACGGGGACCCGCACAAGCGGUGGAGCAUGUGGUUUAAUUCGAAGCAACGCGAAGAACCUUACCAAAUCUUGACAUCCUUUGACAACUCUAGAGAUAGAGCUUUCCCCUUCGGGGGACAAAGUGACAGGUGGUGCAUGGUUGUCGUCAGCUCGUGUCGUGAGAUGUUGGGUUAAGUCCCGCAACGAGCGCAACCCUUAAGCUUAGUUGCCAUCAUUAAGUUGGGCACUCUAAGUUGACUGCCGGUGACAAACCGGAGGAAGGUGGGGAUGACGUCAAAUCAUCAUGCCCCUUAUGAUUUGGGCUACACACGUGCUACAAUGGACAAUACAAAGGGCAGCGAAACCGUGAGGUCAAGCAAAUCCCAUAAAGUUGUUCUCAGUUCGGAUUGUAGUCUGCAACUCGACUACAUGAAGCUGGAAUCGCUAGUAAUCGUAGAUCAGCAUGCUACGGUGAAUACGUUCCCGGGUCU